UACGAAGGGGGCUAGCGUUGUUCGGAGUUACUGGGCGUAAAGGGCGCGUAGGCGGCCUUUCAAGUCGGGUGUGAAAGCCCACGGCUCAACCGUGGAGGUGCAUUCGAGACUGGAAGGCUUGAGGACGGGAGAGGAUGGUGGAAUUCCCAGUGUAGAGGUGAAAUUCGUAGAUAUUGGGAAGAACACCGGUGGCGAAGGCGGCCAUCUGGACCGUUUCUGACGCUGAGGCGCGAAAGCGUGGGGAGCAAACAGG
RNAcentral lists this ribosomal RNA (253 nucleotides) under uncultured prokaryote. RNAcentral's name for it is "partial 16S ribosomal RNA". It matches the Rfam family "Bacterial small subunit ribosomal RNA", at positions 524 to 776 of the family's 1533-position model. The record is from RNAcentral.